RNAcentral lists this transfer RNA (78 nucleotides) under Acidiferrobacterales bacterium. RNAcentral's name for it is "tRNA-Pro". It matches the Rfam family "tRNA". Rfam says of the family: Transfer RNA (tRNA) molecules are approximately 80 nucleotides in length. The record is from RNAcentral. Lineage: Bacteria; Pseudomonadati; Pseudomonadota; Gammaproteobacteria; Acidiferrobacterales.
CGGGGUAUGGCGCAGUCUGGCUAGCGCACCUGCUUUGGGAGCAGGGGGUCGGGGGUUCAAAUCCCUCUACCCCGACCA